This 253-nucleotide ribosomal RNA is filed under the name uncultured bacterium. Its description in RNAcentral is "partial 16S ribosomal RNA". It matches the Rfam family "Bacterial small subunit ribosomal RNA", at positions 524 to 776 of the family's 1533-position model. The record is from RNAcentral.
UACGAAGGGGGCUAGCGUUGCUCGGAAUCACUGGGCGUAAAGCGCACGUAGGCGGAUUGCUAAGUCAGGGGUGAAAUCCUGGAGCUCAACUCCAGAACUGCCUUUGAUACUGGCGAUCUUGAGUCCGGGAGAGGUGAGUGGAACUGCGAGUGUAGAGGUGAAAUUCGUAGAUAUUCGCAAGAACACCAGUGGCGAAGGCGGCUCACUGGCCCGGUACUGACGCUGAGGUGCGAAAGCGUGGGUAGCAAACAGG